UAAAGAGACAUGCACACAUAUGUUUAUUGCAGCACUAUUCACAACAGCAAAGACUUGGAACCAACCCAAAUGCUCAUCAAUGAUAGACUGGAUAAAGAAAAUGUGGCACAUACACACCAUGGAAUACUAUAUAGCCAUAAAAAAGGAUGAGUUCAUGUUCUUUGCAGGGACAUGGAUGAAGCUGGAAACCAUGAUUCUCAGCAAACUAACACAGGAACAGAAAACCAAACACUGCAUGUUUUCACGCAUAAGUAUUGUAAUCAGGUUCUUUGUAAAGAGAUUGAUGAAUGUGUGACUCUUCUUCUCCAAGAGCUUGUCAGUUUCCAGGAACGCAUCUACCAAAAAGAUCCUGUAAGAGCAAAAGCAAGGAGACGACUCGUUAUGGGUCUAAGAGAAGUUACCAAACAUAUGAAGUUAAACAAGAUCAAGUGUGUUAUAAUUUCUCCAAACUGUGAAAAAAUCCAGUCAAAAGGUGGUCUGGAUGAGGCUCUCUAUAAUGUUAUAGCCAUGGCACGGGAACAAGAAAUUCCUUUUGUGUUU
This 540-nucleotide small RNA is filed under the name Pan troglodytes (chimpanzee). RNAcentral describes it as "processed transcript". The record is from RNAcentral. Lineage: Eukaryota; Metazoa; Chordata; Mammalia; Primates; Hominidae.